UGGGGAAUAUUGGACAAUGGGCGCGAGCCUGAUCCAGCCAUGCCGCGUGAGUGACGAAGGCCUUAGGGUUGUAAAGCUCUUUUGGCGGGGAAGAUAAUGACGGUACCCGCAGAAUAAGCUCCGGCUAACUUCGUGCCAGCAGCCGCGGUAAUACGAAGGGAGCUAGCGUUGUUCGGAAUCACUGGGCGUAAAGCGCACGUAGGCGGACUUUCAAGUCAGGGGUGAAAUCCCGGGGCUCAACCUCGGAACUGCCUUUGAUACUGUUGGUCUCGAGUCCGGAAGAGGUGAGUGGAAUUCCUAGUGUAGAGGUGAAAUUCGUAGAUAUUAGGAAGAACACCGGUGGCGAAGGCGGCUCACUGGUCCGGUACUGACGCUGAGGUGCGAAAGCGCGGGGAGCAAACA
Molecule: ribosomal RNA, 402 nt
Filed under: uncultured bacterium
Lineage: Bacteria
Description: bacterial SSU rRNA
Rfam family: Bacterial small subunit ribosomal RNA
Source: RNAcentral